Non-coding RNA from Salmo salar (Atlantic salmon), 54 nucleotides. The record is from Rfam. NCBI's taxonomy places the organism in Eukaryota, Metazoa, Chordata, Actinopteri, Salmoniformes, Salmonidae.
UGCAUUCACUAUUUUAAGUCGCUCUGGAUAAGAGCGUCUGCUAAAUGACUAAAA